GGCUCUGUCGUCUAGUGGCCUAGGACACGGCCCUUUCACGGCUGUAACACGGGUUCAAAUCCCGUCAGAGUCA
Molecule: transfer RNA, 73 nt
Filed under: Planctomycetota bacterium
Lineage: Bacteria; Pseudomonadati; Planctomycetota
Also listed under: 1 other name
Description: Planctomycetes bacterium (freshwater metagenome) tRNA-Glu
Rfam family: tRNA
About the family: Transfer RNA (tRNA) molecules are approximately 80 nucleotides in length. Their secondary structure includes four short double-helical elements and three loops (D, anti-codon, and T loops).
Source: RNAcentral